AGCAAAGGUCGACUGACGAACCAGUAGC
RNAcentral lists this small RNA (28 nucleotides) under Bombyx mori (domestic silkworm). Its description in RNAcentral is "ovarian small RNA-11985". Lineage: Eukaryota; Metazoa; Arthropoda; Insecta; Lepidoptera; Bombycidae. The record is from RNAcentral.